RNAcentral lists this ribosomal RNA (489 nucleotides) under uncultured bacterium. Its description in RNAcentral is "bacterial SSU rRNA". It matches the Rfam family "Bacterial small subunit ribosomal RNA", at positions 28 to 507 of the family's 1533-position model. The record is from RNAcentral.
GAUGAACGCUAGCUACAGGCUUAACACAUGCAAGUCGAGGGGUAACAUUAAGUUAGCUUGCUAACUUAGAUGACGACCGGCGCACGGGUGAGUAACGCGUAUCCAACCUGCCCCAUACCAGGGAAUAGCCUUUCGAAAGAAAGAGUAAUGCCCUAUGUUAUCCCAUGCAGACAUCCAAAUGGGAUCAAAGAUUCAUCGGUACGGGAUGGGGAUGCGUCUGAUUAGGUUGUUGGCGGGGUAACGGCCCACCAAACCGACGAUCAGUAGGGGUUCUGAGAGGAAGGUCCCCACAUUGGAACUGAGACACGGUCCAAACUCCUACGGGAGGCAGCAGUGAGGAAUAUUGGUCAAUGGCCGAGAGGCUGAACCAGCCAAGUAGCGUGAGGGAUGACGGCCCUAUGGGUUGUAAACCUCUUUUAUACGGGGAUAAAGUGAGCCACGUGUGGUUCAUUGCAGGUACCGUACGAAUAAGGACCGGCUAAUUCCGUG